UACGGAGGAUCCGAGCGUUAUCCGGAUUUAUUGGGUUUAAAGGGUGCUCAGGCGGGCCAUUAAGUCGGCGGUGAAAUUUUGCGGCUCAACCGUAAAAGUGCCUUCGACACUGGUGGUCUUGAGUGUGGAUGAGGUAGGCGGAAUUUGUGGUGUAGCGGUGAAAUGCAUAGAUAUCACGAGGAACUCCGAUUGCGCAGGCAGCUUACUAAACUACUACUGACGCUCAGGCACGAAGGCGUGGGGAUCAAACAGGAUUAGAUACCCUGGUA
Molecule: ribosomal RNA, 269 nt
Filed under: uncultured prokaryote
Description: partial 16S ribosomal RNA
Rfam family: Bacterial small subunit ribosomal RNA
Source: RNAcentral